This 923-nucleotide long non-coding RNA is filed under the name Citrus sinensis (sweet orange). Its description in RNAcentral is "long non-coding RNA (CSIN_LNC005508)". The record is from RNAcentral. Lineage: Eukaryota; Viridiplantae; Streptophyta; Magnoliopsida; Sapindales; Rutaceae.
UUUUCGAUAAUUUGGGCUUUAAUGUAUCUAAUCAAUUGUAGGCCUUUAAUGUACAGAGACUUAAGACUAUUUUCUAUUUCCAUGAUGGGUUGGAAUAAGAAUACAUAAAGACAAAAGAAAAAUUUGUUUAUAUAAGUAGUUAUUGUCCCUAGGUCUGCUGUACCGUACAUCCGCCUUCGCCGUACAGCAGCGCCGGAUUCUUGACCAACUCUUGAACACAAGGCACAAGGAGAGAACUUCCAAUCUGGGCCAUCUUUUGUUCCUCAAAUCCUUUCAAGAUUGCUGCAGCUUUGUAUUGGUUUUGGAACAAGACUGAGUGCUGACAAUCACAAAAGUAAAAAGGAAUCUUUUUCCAAGUAAUUAAUCAGCAUCCUCCACCUAACCAUUCAUGAAGUAUUUUUAAUUUUUUGCACAUGUUUCGAAUGCAAAAUAAAAUAUUCGCAGGUCAAAACUAUCCUCUAUGGAUAACGAUGACAAACCAUCAGCCAAUUAAUUAUUUGUGGUUCCCACCUUGUCAUCAACCCAAAAGGCGAAGGUAUUUUCAAUACUGCGUUUUGUUUUCUUUUCCCCUUUUUAUUUUUCUUUCACAACUUGGUAUUUUGCUCUUGACUUGUGCGAGUAAUCCACCAUUGCGUGUCUGCAGUUAAAAGGACUUUGGUGGUUCUCGAGUAUUACUUUUUAUCUAUUCAAAUCUUAUAUAUGGGUAAACAUAUUAUCAUUAUUGAUUAAAACAUAUAUAUGAUUACCUAAAAAUUUUUCUAACACGCUGCAAUCUGGUGCUGUGUUGGAAUUGACUGUGCACUAUUAAGAAAAUAGUGGAUUCGAAUUGUAAUCGAUUAGUCAUUUAUACAAUUAUAGCUGUGUUGUAAUUGACUGUGCACUAUCCAGGUGAGAUUUUCCCCUAAGCUCACGAGCAAACCGGC